RNAcentral lists this ribosomal RNA (460 nucleotides) under uncultured bacterium. Its description in RNAcentral is "partial 16S ribosomal RNA". It matches the Rfam family "Bacterial small subunit ribosomal RNA", at positions 338 to 795 of the family's 1533-position model. The record is from RNAcentral.
CCUACGGGUGGCAGCAGUGAGGAAUAUUGGUCAAUGGGCGGAAGCCUGAACCAGCCAAGUAGCGUGCAGGAUGACGGCCCUACGGGUUGUAAACUGCUUUUAUACGGGAAUAACGCGCCUUACGUGUAGGGCUUUGCAUGUACCGUAUGAAUAAGGACCGGCUAAUUCCGUGCCAGCAGCCGCGGUAAUACGGAAGGUCCGGGCGUUAUCCGGAUUUAUUGGGUUUAAAGGGAGCGUAGGCCGCAUGUUAAGCGUGCUGUGAAAUGUCCGGGCUCAACCCGGGCCUUGCAGUGGAAACUGGCGGGCUUGAGUAGGCGAGAAGCAGGCGGAAUUCGUGGUGUAGCGGUGAAAUGCUUAGAUAUGACGAAGAACCCCGAUUGCGAAGGCAGCUUGCUGCAGCGGAACUGACGCUGAGGCUCGAAAGCGCGGGUAUCGAACAGGAUUAGAUACCCGAGUAGUC